RNAcentral lists this ribosomal RNA (574 nucleotides) under Paraphanocles sp. WS473. Its description in RNAcentral is "partial 28S ribosomal RNA". It matches the Rfam family "Eukaryotic large subunit ribosomal RNA", at positions 660 to 1162 of the family's 3401-position model. The record is from RNAcentral. Lineage: Eukaryota; Metazoa; Arthropoda; Insecta; Phasmatodea; Diapheromeridae.
CACGGACCAAGGAGUCUAACAUGUGCGCGAGUCAUUGGGUUAUGCUAAACCUAAAGGCGAAAUGAAAGUGAAGGCCGCAAUGGAUUGGGCGGACGAGGGAAGAUGGUUACGGGAUCACCCGGGGCUUCGGCCUCGGGCCCGGCCCGCAUUCCCGGGGCGCCUCGACCUCACUGCGAGGUGAGGCGCACCUAGAGCGUACACGUUGGGACCCGAAAGAUGGUGAACUAUGCCUGGCCAGGACGAAGUCAGGGGAAACCCUGAUGGAGGUCCGCAGCGAUUCUGACGUGCAAAUCGAUCGUCGGAGCUGGGUAUAGGGGCGAAAGACUAAUCGAACCAUCUAGUAGCUGGUUCCCUCCGAAGUUUCCCUCAGGAUAGCUGGCACUCGGAGGUCUGGAAAGUGUGAAGUGAGUCUCAUACGGUAAAGCGAAUGAUUAGAGGCCUUGGGGCCGAAACGAUCUCAACCUAUUCUCAAACUUUAAAUGGGUGAGAACUCCGGCUUGCUUGUGGAUGAAGCCGGAGACGGAUCAGGAGUGCCAAGUGGGCCACUUUUGGUAAGCAGAACUGGCGCUGUGGA